RNAcentral lists this ribosomal RNA (253 nucleotides) under uncultured prokaryote. RNAcentral describes it as "partial 16S ribosomal RNA". It matches the Rfam family "Bacterial small subunit ribosomal RNA", at positions 524 to 776 of the family's 1533-position model. The record is from RNAcentral.
UACGUAGGGUGCGAGCGUUAAUCGGAAUUACUGGGCGUAAAGCGUGCGCAGGCGGUUGUGCAAGACAGGUGUGAAAUCCCCGGGCUUAACCUGGGAACUGCGCUUGUGACUGCACAACUAGAGUACGGCAGAGGGGGGUGGAAUUCCUGGUGUAGCAGUGAAACGCGUAGAUAUCAGGAGGAACACCGAUGGCGAAGGCAGCCCCCUGGGCCUGUACUGACGCUCAUGCACGAAAGCGUGGGGAGCAAACAGG